This is a long non-coding RNA of Cebus imitator (Panamanian white-faced capuchin), 795 nucleotides long. RefSeq lists it as uncharacterized. Lineage: Eukaryota; Metazoa; Chordata; Mammalia; Primates; Cebidae. The record is from RefSeq and is a predicted model, not a curated record. The transcript is spliced from 2 exons.
UUUUAUUUUUUGUAGCAAUAGGGUCUCCUUGCAUUGACCAGGCUGGUCUGAACACCUGGGCUCAAGUGAUCCUCCUGCUUCAGCCUCCCAAAGUGCUGAGAUUACAGCUAUAAACCACAGUGCCCUGCCGGGAUGGAAUUUAAAUUUGUCCUUUUCUGCUUAUCCCAAUUUCUUUUUCCCCACCUUUGCCUAUCUGUCAUCUAACAAUCUGUAACUCAAAUCUCUUCAAAGCUGUGAACUUUCCUUUUCCUAUGGGAAACUUUCUGAAAGUAAAGUCUCAGAGUGGGGACUGAAGAAAACCAAAAUAUUUUGCCCCAAAAUUAUUUCCUUGACAUGGCUGAAGACAGUUACUCAGAAGGACUGGAAAUAGAAUAGCUAAAAAGCUGUCUUUUGUGGGGGAGAUUUGCAUCUGUAGCGAGAAUCUACACUGAUGAGGCUAGGCCUUCUCUGAGGCCUCCCCUUGCCUGAUGUAGAAGAGUAACAGAGUCUGACACCUUUAAAGGUCUGAAGGGAACAUUCAUCCAUUCUCUCUGAGGGCUGCUACCUGUGAGGUUUCAUCGAUAGAACAAGGCCACCUUUGCCAGCCAGGCCUCCUCUCCUCUCCCUCCUGUAACUGGUCUUGCCGCUGUAACCUGAUUUUCCACCAUAACCUGUUUAUGGCCAUGCUUUGAGUCCCCGUUCUUUCUUUAACCUCAAGAUGGUAUAUAAGCUUCUGAAUCCCAUUGGGAGGUUGGGGUCAUCACUCUGGUUCUCACUGUGUGUAUGAAUAAAUCUGUAUGCCUUUUGUCUUAUUAA